This 33-nucleotide non-coding RNA is filed under the name unclassified sequences. The record is from RNAcentral.
UGAGAGGUAGCCGAAAAUCUUUAAGAGUAGGUG